UUGAAAGGGAGAGGGGUUAGGUUUAUUCCCUUCAUUGUGGCUUUGGGAUUUUGGGAUAGUGUAGAAAAGGGAAGUGAGAAGACGAGAGAAAAUCGCGGAGGUGGGAAGACGAAGAUGGGUUCUUCGCGGUAGGGGUUUACUCCGGUCUUCUUCUCCGGUCCUCCUCCAUUGCAUGCUUCUAUUUCGAGCCAUGGGAUUCAGAAUCCCUAUAACUAUUUCCUAUUCUUCCGGUCUCCUUCUUUUCGAAUAGUGUCAAAUAGAUAACAAAAUGUCAGUGGAUUGAGCGUUGAUUUGCUUUAAACUAUAAGAUAUGGUGGAUAUAUAACUUGGGAGAUCUUCUCAUUUAAGGCACUUGAAGAACAUUAGGGGUGGGAGGUUUAGUUUCCUUUUUAAGUGAAUGUAUUAUGCUCAUUUUUAGCACCAAAUAUUGUUUAUUUAAAACAUUGUUUUCAGACAAUGUAAAUUACAUUUUUGAAUUUAUUUACUAUUUAUUAUCACUUUUUUAGAAUCUAUUUUG
Non-coding RNA from Lupinus albus (white lupine), 517 nucleotides. NCBI's taxonomy places the organism in Eukaryota, Viridiplantae, Streptophyta, Magnoliopsida, Fabales, Fabaceae. The record is from the annotation of a GenBank genome assembly.